This 941-nucleotide ribosomal RNA is filed under the name uncultured archaeon. RNAcentral describes it as "bacterial SSU rRNA". It matches the Rfam family "Archaeal small subunit ribosomal RNA", at positions 1 to 922 of the family's 1478-position model. The record is from RNAcentral.
UCCGGUUGAUCCUGCCGGACCCGACCGGGAUCGGGGUGGGGCUAAGCCAUGCAAGUCGAGCGUUCUCUAGCUGUUGAGAGCGCGGCGCACGGCUCAGUAGUACGCAGCUAACCUACCCUAAGGAGGGGGAUAAUCCCGGGAAACUGGGGCUAAUAACCCAUGAACCUCAGAGGCUGGAAUGCACUGAGGUUAAAAUGACUAUUUCAGCAUGCUGGAAUGGUUGCCUUAGGAUGGGGCUGCGUCCGAUCAGGUAGUUGGCGGGGUAAAGGCCCACCAAGCCUAUGACCGGUGCGGGCUCUGAGAGGAGGAGCCCGGAGAUGGAUCCUGAGACAAGGGUCCAGGCCCUACGGGGCGCAGCAGGCGCGAAACCUUCACAAUGCCCGAAAGGGUGAUGAGGCUACCCCGAGUGCUAUCCGCAGAGGAUAGCUUUUGUUAGGUCUAAAAAGCCUGGCGAAUAAGGGGAGGGUAAGACUGGUGUCAGCCGCCGCGGUAAUACCAGCUCCCCGACUGGUCGGGAUGAUUAUUGGGCCUAAAGCGUCCGUAGCCGGUUCUUUAUGUGGUUCGUUAAAUCUAGCGGCUCAACCGCUGGGCUGCGAAUCAUACUAAAGGGCUAGGGGGCGGGAGAGGCCAAGGGUACUCCGCGGGUAGGGGUAAAAUCCGCUGAUCCGUGGAAGACCAACAGUGGCGAAGGCGUUUGGCCAGAACGCGCCCGACGGUGAGGGACGAAAGCUAGGGGAGCGAACCGGAUUAGAUACCCGGGUAGUCCUAGCUGUAAACGAUGCUCGCUAGGUCUUGGAAGAACUUUGUGUUCUGUCAGGGCCGCAGGGAAGCCGUUAAGCGAGCCGCCUGGGGAGUACGGCUGCAAGGCUGAAACUUAAAGGAAUUGGCGGGGGAGCACCACAAGGGGUGAAGCCUGCGGUUUAAUUGGAGUCAACGCCGGA